RNAcentral lists this transfer RNA (72 nucleotides) under Toxocara canis (dog roundworm). It matches the Rfam family "tRNA". From Rfam's summary of the family: Transfer RNA (tRNA) molecules are approximately 80 nucleotides in length. The record is from Rfam by way of RNAcentral. Lineage: Eukaryota; Metazoa; Nematoda; Chromadorea; Rhabditida; Toxocaridae.
UGGGCAGUAGCUCAGUGGUAGAGCCUCCACUUCGUACGCGGGAAGACCUGGGUUCGAUUCCCGGCUGUUUUU